RNAcentral lists this ribosomal RNA (492 nucleotides) under uncultured bacterium. RNAcentral describes it as "partial 16S ribosomal RNA". It matches the Rfam family "Bacterial small subunit ribosomal RNA", at positions 29 to 507 of the family's 1533-position model. The record is from RNAcentral.
AGUGAACGCUGGCGGUAGGCCUAACACAUGCGAGUCGAACGGCAGCACAGUAAGAGCUUGCUCUUACGGGUGGCGAGUGGCGGACGGGUGAGGAAUACAUCGGAAUCUACUUUUUCGUGGGGGAUAACGUAGGGAAACUUACGCUAAUACCGCAUACGACCUACGGGUGAAAGCAGGGGAUCUUCGGACCUUGCGCGAUCGAAUGAGCCGAUGUCGGAUUAGCUAGUUGGCGGGGUAAAGGCCCACCAAGGCGACGAUCCGUAGCUGGUCUGGGAGGAUGAUCAGCCACACUGGAACUGAGACACGGUCCAGACUCCUACGGGAGGCAGCAGUGGGGAAUAUUGGACAAUGGGCGCAAGCCUGAUCCAGCCAUACCGCGUGGGUGAAGAAGGCCUUCGGGUUGUAAAGCCCUUUUGUUGGGAAAGAAAAGCAGCAGGUUAAUACCCCGCUGUUCUGACGGUACCCAAAGAAUAAGCACCGGCUAACUUCGUG